GUAGGCGGCAAGCGUUGUCCGGAAUUAUUGGGGCGUAAAGCGCGCGCAGGCGGUUCUUUAAGUCUGAUGUGAAAGCCCACGGGCUCAACCGUGGAGGGUCAUUGGAAACUGGAGAACUUGAGUACAGAAGAGGAAAGCGGAGUUCCACGUGUAGCGGUGAAAUGCGUAGAGAUGUGGAGGAACACCAGUGGCGAAGGCGGCUUUCUGGUCUGUAACUGACGCUGAGGCGCGAAAGCGUGGGGAGCAAACAGGAUUAGAUACCCUGGUAGUCCACGCCGUAAACGAUGAGUGCUAAGUGUUAGGGGGUUUCCGCCCCUUAGUGCUGCAGCUAACGCAUUAAGCACUCCGCCUGGGGAGUACGGCCGCAAAGGCUG
Molecule: ribosomal RNA, 374 nt
Filed under: uncultured organism
Description: partial 16S ribosomal RNA
Rfam family: Bacterial small subunit ribosomal RNA
Source: RNAcentral